RNAcentral lists this ribosomal RNA (462 nucleotides) under uncultured bacterium. RNAcentral's name for it is "partial 16S ribosomal RNA". It matches the Rfam family "Bacterial small subunit ribosomal RNA", at positions 28 to 507 of the family's 1533-position model. The record is from RNAcentral.
GACGAACGCUGGCGGCGUGCUUAACACAUGCAAGUCGAACGGAAAGGCCCUUCGGGGUACUCGAGUGGCGAACGGGUGAGUAACACGUGGGUGAUCUGCCCUGCACUUUGGGAUAAGCCUGGGAAACUGGGUCUAAUACCGAAUAGGACCACGCGCUUCAUGGUGUGUGGUGGAAAGCUUUUGCGGUGGGGGAUGGGCCCGCGGCCUAUCAGCUUGUUGGUGGGGUAAUGGCCUACCAAGGCGACGACGGGUAGCCGGCCUGAGAGGGUGACCGGCCACACUGGGACUGAGAUACGGCCCAGACUCCUACGGGAGGCAGCAGUGGGGAAUAUUGCACAAUGGGCGCAAGCCUGAUGCAGCGACGCCGCGUGAGGGAUGACGGCCUUCGGGUUGUAAACCUCUUUCAAUAGGGACGAAGCGCAAGUGACGGUACCUAUAGAAGAAGCACCGGCCAACUACGUG